AUUGAACGCUGGCGGCAUGCCUUACACAUGCAAGUCGAACGGCAGCACGGGUGCUUGCACCUGGUGGCGAGUGGCGAACGGGUGAGUAAUACAUCGGAACGUACCUUAUCGUGGGAGAUAACGCAGCGAAAGCUGUGCUAAUACCGCAUACGCCCUGAGGGGGAAAGCGGGGGAUCGCAAGACCUCGCGCGAUUAGAGCGGCCGAUGCCUGAUUAGCUUGUUGGUGGGGUAAAAGCCCACCAAGGCGACGAUCAGUAGCUGGUCUGAGAGGACGAGUGGCCACACUGGGACUGAGACACGGCCCAGACUCCUACGGGAGGCAGCAGUGGGGAAUUUUGGACAAUGGGGGCAACCCUGAUCAAGCAAUGCCGCGUGAGUGAAGAAGGCCUUCGGGUUGUAAAGCUCUUUUGUCAGGGAAGAAACACCGGCUCUAACACAGUCCGGGAAUGACGGUACCUGAAGAAUAAGCACCGGCUAACUACGUGCCAGCCGCCGCCGUAA
Molecule: ribosomal RNA, 501 nt
Filed under: uncultured bacterium
Lineage: Bacteria
Description: partial 16S ribosomal RNA
Rfam family: Bacterial small subunit ribosomal RNA
Source: RNAcentral